RNAcentral lists this ribosomal RNA (467 nucleotides) under uncultured archaeon. RNAcentral describes it as "bacterial SSU rRNA". It matches the Rfam family "Archaeal small subunit ribosomal RNA", at positions 1 to 474 of the family's 1478-position model. The record is from RNAcentral.
CUCCCGUUGAUCCUGCCGGACCUGACUGCUAUCGGAUUGGUACUAAGCCAUGUGAGUCAUUGUAGCAAUACAAGGCAUACGGCUCAGUAACACGUAGUCAAUCUAACCUAUGGACGUGGAUAACCUCGGGAAACUGAGAAUAAUCCGCGAUAGAUCAUAAUUCCUGGAAUGGUUUAUGGUCCAAAUGAUUCGUCGCCAUAGGAUGGGACUGCGGCCUAUCAGCUUGUUGGUGAGGUAAUGGCUCACCAAGGCUAUUACAGGUACGGGCUCUGAGAGGAGAAGCCCGGAGAUGGGUACUGAGACACGGACCCAGGCCCUAUGGGGCGCAGCAGGCGAGAAACCUUUGCAAUGUGCGCAAGCACGACAAGGUUAAUCCGAGUGUUUCCUGCUAAAGGAAUCUUUUGUUAGUUCUAAAACCACUGAUGAAUAAGAGGUGGGCAAGUUCUGGUGCCAGCAGCCGCGGUAAA